UUUUAAAUGGCCGCAGUAUUUUGACUGUGCAAAGGUAGCAUAAUCAUUAGUUUUUUAAUUAAAAGCUUGUAUGAAAGGUUGGACGAGGUAAAAUCUGUCUCUAUUUAAAUUAUAGUAGAAUUUAACUUUUAAGUUAAAAGGCUUAAAUAUUAUUAAAAGACGAGAAGACCCUAUAGAUCUUUAUAGUUUAUUAAAUUAAAUUAAUUUAGAAAUAUUAAUGUUUUAUUUAAUUAAAUUAUUUUAUUGGGGUAAUAAAAAGAUUGAGUUAAUUCUUUUUUACAAUAAACAUUAAUUUAUGAAUAUUAAUGAUCCAGUUUUACUGAUUAUAAGAUUAAGUUACCUUAGGGAUAACAGCGUAAUUUUUUUAGAGAGUUCAUAUCGAUAAAAAAGUUUGCGACCUCGAUGUUGGAUUAAAGAUUAUUUUAGGUGUAGAAGCUUAAUAAUUUUGGUCUGUUCGACCAUUAAAUCUUUACAUGAUCUGAGUUCAGACCGGCGUAAGCCAGGUCGGUUUCUAUCUUUAAUAAAAUAAAAUAUUUUAGUACGAAAGGACCAAAUAUUUGAUAUAUUUAUAUUUAAUUUAUUGAAUAUUA
RNAcentral lists this ribosomal RNA (590 nucleotides) under Carabus macrocephalus barcelecoanus. RNAcentral's name for it is "partial large subunit ribosomal RNA". It matches the Rfam family "Bacterial large subunit ribosomal RNA", at positions 1921 to 2748 of the family's 2925-position model. Lineage: Eukaryota; Metazoa; Arthropoda; Insecta; Coleoptera; Carabidae. RNAcentral also lists the same sequence under 2 other names. The record is from RNAcentral.